RNAcentral lists this non-coding RNA (30 nucleotides) under Rattus norvegicus (Norway rat). Lineage: Eukaryota; Metazoa; Chordata; Mammalia; Rodentia; Muridae. The record is from RNAcentral.
UAAGUGCUUGGACCAUUUCCUGUUGUUGGG